ACGGAGGGUGCGAGCGUUGUCCGGAAUCACUGGGCGUAAAGGGCGCGUAGGUGGCUCGUUAAGUGGCUGGUGAAAUCCCGGGGCUCAACUCCGGGGCUGCCGGUCAGACUGGCGGGCUAGAGCACGGUAGGGGCAGAUGGAAUUCCCGGUGUAGCGGUGGAAUGCGUAGAUAUCGGGAAGAACACCAGUGGCGAAGGCGUUCUGCUGGGCCGUUGCUGACACUGAGGCGCGACAGCGUGGGGAGCAAACAGGAUUAGAUACCCUGGUAGUCCACGCCGUAAACGAUGGACACUAGGCGUCGGGGGGAGCGACCCUCCCGGUGCCGUCGCUAACGCAGUAAGUGUCCCGCCUGGGGAGUACGGCCGCAAGGCUG
Molecule: ribosomal RNA, 373 nt
Filed under: uncultured bacterium
Lineage: Bacteria
Description: bacterial SSU rRNA
Rfam family: Bacterial small subunit ribosomal RNA
Source: RNAcentral